Molecule: ribosomal RNA, 462 nt
Filed under: uncultured bacterium
Lineage: Bacteria
Description: bacterial SSU rRNA
Rfam family: Bacterial small subunit ribosomal RNA
Source: RNAcentral
GUACGGAAGGCAGCAGUGGGGAAUUUUGGACAAUGGGCGCAAGCCUGAUCCAGCAAUGCCGCGUGUGUGAAGAAGGCCUUCGGGUUGUAAAGCACUUUUGUCCGGAAAGAAAACCUGUGGGCUAAUACCCUGUGGGGAUGACGGUACCGGAAGAAUAAGCACCGGCUAACUACGUGCCAGCAGCCGCGGUAAUACGUAGGGUGCAAGCGUUAAUCGGAAUUACUGGGCGUAAAGCGUGCGCAGGCGGUCCGUUAAGACAGAUGUGAAAUCCCCGGGCUUAACCUGGGAACUGCAUUUGUGACUGGCGGACUCGAGUAUGGCAGAGGGGGGUAGAAUUCCACGUGUAGCAGUGAAAUGCGUAGAGAUGUGGAGGAAUACCGAUGGCGAAGGCAGCCCCCUGGGCCAAUACUGACGCUCAUGCACGAAAGCGUGGGGAGCAAACAGGAUUAGAUACCCUCGUAC